RNAcentral lists this ribosomal RNA (253 nucleotides) under uncultured bacterium. RNAcentral's name for it is "partial 16S ribosomal RNA". It matches the Rfam family "Bacterial small subunit ribosomal RNA", at positions 524 to 776 of the family's 1533-position model. The record is from RNAcentral.
UACGUAGGGCGCAAGCGUUGUCCGGAAUUAUUGGGCGUAAAGAGCUCGUAGGUGGCUUGUCGCGUCGGGUGUGAAAGCUUGGGGCUUAACUCCAGGUCUGCAUUCGAUACGGGCUGGCUAGAGGUAGGUAGGGGAGAACGGAAUUCCUGGUGUAGCGGUGAAAUGCGUAGAUAUCCGGAGGAACACCAGUGGCGAAGGCGGCCGCCUGGACCUGACCUGACGCUGAGGCGCGAAGGCGUGGGGAGCGAACGGG